ACGGGAGGCAGCAGUGGGGAAUAUUGCACAAUGGGCGGAAGCCUGAUGCAGCGAUGCCGCGUGAGGGAAGAAGGUUUUCGGAUUGUAAACCUCUGUCAAGAGGGACGAUAAUGACGGUACCUUAGAAGGAAGCUCCGGCUAACUACGUGCCAGCAGCCGCGGUAAUACGUAGGGAGCGAGCGUUAUCCGGAAUUACUGGGUGUAAAGGGAGCGCAGGCGGUAACGCAAGCCAGAGGUGAAAACCCGGGGCUCAACCCCGAGGAUUGCCUUUGGAACUGUGGAACUGGAGUGCUGGAGGGGCAGGCGGAAUUCCUGGUGUAGCGGUGAAAUGCGUAGAUAUCAGGAGGAACACCGGUGGCGAAGGCGGCCUGCUGGACAGUAACUGACGCUGAGGCUCGAAAGCGUGGGGAGCAAACAGGAUUAGAUACCCUGGUA
RNAcentral lists this ribosomal RNA (435 nucleotides) under uncultured Lachnospiraceae bacterium. RNAcentral describes it as "bacterial SSU rRNA". It matches the Rfam family "Bacterial small subunit ribosomal RNA", at positions 341 to 792 of the family's 1533-position model. Lineage: Bacteria; Bacillati; Bacillota; Clostridia; Lachnospirales; Lachnospiraceae. The record is from RNAcentral.